GACUGUUAGUGGGAGCGGCCUAUUGGUCUUUUUGGUUUGAACCGGUCAGUUAUGGACAACCUAGACUGGUUUAACUCCUUGUGGUCCUGUCAUUUGUCAAU
Long non-coding RNA from Ipomoea nil (Japanese morning glory), 101 nucleotides. RefSeq lists it as uncharacterized. The record is from RefSeq and is a predicted model, not a curated record. NCBI's taxonomy places the organism in Eukaryota, Viridiplantae, Streptophyta, Magnoliopsida, Solanales, Convolvulaceae. The transcript has 3 exons.